This 253-nucleotide ribosomal RNA is filed under the name uncultured bacterium. RNAcentral describes it as "partial 16S ribosomal RNA". It matches the Rfam family "Bacterial small subunit ribosomal RNA", at positions 524 to 776 of the family's 1533-position model. The record is from RNAcentral.
GACGUAGGGCGCGAGCGUUGUCCGGAUUUAUUGGGCGUAAAGAGCUCGUAGGCGGCUUGUCGCGUCGACUGUGAAAUCCCGCGGCUCAACCGCGGGUCUGCAGUCGAUACGGGCAGGCUAGAGUUCGGUAGGGGAGACUGGAAUUCCUGGUGUAGCGGUGAAAUGUGCAGAUAUCAGGAGGAACACCGAUGGCGAAGGCAGGUCUCUGGGCCGAUACUGACGCUGAGGAGCGAAAGCGUGGGGAGCGAACAGG